CUGGAUGAUGAAAUGCACUGGGCUCCGACCAGUUCUUCUGUUGUUUUGAAGGAAAUGCACUUGCGUAGAAUGCCUUGGCUGACUU
Musa acuminata AAA Group (dessert banana) is the source of this 85-nucleotide small nucleolar RNA. Lineage: Eukaryota; Viridiplantae; Streptophyta; Magnoliopsida; Zingiberales; Musaceae. The record is from RefSeq and is a predicted model, not a curated record.